Molecule: transfer RNA, 75 nt
Filed under: Candidatus Latescibacterota bacterium
Lineage: Bacteria; Pseudomonadati; Candidatus Latescibacterota
Also listed under: 1 other name
Description: Candidatus Latescibacteria bacterium tRNA-Glu
Rfam family: tRNA
About the family: Transfer RNA (tRNA) molecules are approximately 80 nucleotides in length. Their secondary structure includes four short double-helical elements and three loops (D, anti-codon, and T loops).
Source: RNAcentral
GCCGCUAUCGUCUAGGGGUUAGGACAUCUGGUUCUCAGCCAGAAAACCGGGGUUCGAAUCCCCGUAGCGGUACCA